This 73-nucleotide transfer RNA is filed under the name Trichonephila inaurata madagascariensis. It matches the Rfam family "tRNA". Rfam says of the family: Transfer RNA (tRNA) molecules are approximately 80 nucleotides in length. Their secondary structure includes four short double-helical elements and three loops (D, anti-codon, and T loops). The record is from Rfam by way of RNAcentral. Lineage: Eukaryota; Metazoa; Arthropoda; Arachnida; Araneae; Nephilidae.
GUCCCUGUAGUGCAAUGUAUAGCGCGUUGGAAUUCUAAUCCAAAGGUUGUGGGUUCGAAUCCUACCUGGGAUG